GGAGGCGGAGAGUGAAAAUGGCGGUCUCCCAAUCUCCACCCCGGAGGAGCCGAGAACUCGGGCCCCGCUCCUCAGUGAGCCCCCAGAGAAAAGCCGUCAGUCACUCUCGUCUCCCCGGUCUGCAGCUGCACUCCGUGCUCAACCGGCCUGUGACCGCACGUUUCUGUCUCUGGCACCCAACCCUGGGUGGAGUCUCCAAACCCAGCAGAUCCCUGCGGUGCACUCCCGCGCGGCUCCUCCCGGGGGAGGAAGUGAUUAUUGAGAUUCUUCAUUAUGAAAUCAACCUCUACACUCUAUUUUGAUGGCCUGGAAUGUGACCACUGUUUUGCUAUAACGUUAGGUUCUGCUACUUUCUUUCCACUUCCAUGGGGCACCUGAAGUUCAAGAGCUGAGCUGAGAUGGAGUCCACUGCUUAACCAACUAAGCCCCCCAGGUGUACAACCAUCUUUUAAGAAUCUUUGCCUAACUGGUCAAUCGGGCAUCUGGAAUAUCCUUCCAUGAUGCUAGAAUGAUAGAUAAAAUGAUACCUUCUAUGCCAUCCAGAAUGUUGAAUGAAAUCUGUUCUUGAAUCCAAAGAGGUAUACUCUAAUGGUGAGCUUCCUAACACUAUGUUUAAAAGUGGGAAGACAAAUGUUACAUAUCCUGUAAAAUCUUCCAAAUCUGUG
Long non-coding RNA from Mirounga angustirostris (Northern elephant seal), 665 nucleotides. RefSeq lists it as uncharacterized. The transcript has 3 exons. The record is from RefSeq and is a predicted model, not a curated record. NCBI's taxonomy places the organism in Eukaryota, Metazoa, Chordata, Mammalia, Carnivora, Phocidae.